RNAcentral lists this non-coding RNA (21 nucleotides) under Rattus norvegicus (Norway rat). Lineage: Eukaryota; Metazoa; Chordata; Mammalia; Rodentia; Muridae. The record is from RNAcentral.
GCUGAACCUGGAGACACCUGC